UACGGGGGGGGCAAGCGUUGUUCGGAAUUACUGGGCGUAAAGGGUGCGUAGGCGGCUUUCUAAGUUGGAUGUGAAAACUCUGGGCUCAACCCAGAGCCUGCAUCCAAAACUGGAGAGCUAGGGUUCUGGAGGGGAAAGCGGAAUUCCUGGUGUAGCGGUGAAAUGCGUAGAUAUCAGGAGGAACACCGGUGGCGAAGGCGGCUUUCUGGACAGAUACCGACGCUGAGGCACGAAAGCUAGGGGAGCAAACGGG
RNAcentral lists this ribosomal RNA (253 nucleotides) under uncultured bacterium. RNAcentral describes it as "partial 16S ribosomal RNA". It matches the Rfam family "Bacterial small subunit ribosomal RNA", at positions 524 to 776 of the family's 1533-position model. The record is from RNAcentral.